Molecule: long non-coding RNA, 772 nt
Organism: Conger conger (European conger)
Lineage: Eukaryota; Metazoa; Chordata; Actinopteri; Anguilliformes; Congridae
Exons: 3
Source: RefSeq, a predicted model, not a curated record
UUAAUUAUUAUUCUCUUUGCGUACCAAGUGUGAAUGCUCUGGUGCCUAAAAAAAAGGGGGAAAAAAGGCCCAGUGCGCAUGAUCUGAUGGAAAACAGGCCCAUAGCCAAACAUGGCAGCCUCCAUGAACUGGCUUCAUGCGCCACUGAGCUGCUCCCAUAGGACUCAAUGGAACCGGUCUGCUCGCGUCACGGAACGGUGAAGUGGCAUGGGUACAGAAAUACGGACACGGUGGAGAAUCCAAAAUAUGAAGGAAAUCACCUGAUGACCUGGGGGAUCACAGGGGUUAUGGUCAGUAGUCGUGAUCUUGGCAGUGAUCAGACUCGAUCUGCCUCUUUAGCCAGGAGUGGAAGGGGCUCCCCCACCUCCACUGCCCACCUUAUACUGCACGGACAUUUAAUAAUAACGUUUGUUUACAAAGUUUUUGUCAUCAAUGGUGUUUAUUGUUGACUAUGUAUAGGAUCUUAAAAUCGGAAUGCAUAUUUGUCUUUUGUAUAGUUGUGAACCACCUCAAAAUGAAAUUAGAAUUUCUUCUUUUUUUUUUUAAGUGGAUUUCAUUUGAAGCUAACUACUGCAGCUAUUAUCCCUGAGUGACAGCUCAUCGUGUGGACGGGUUAUAAAUGUUUGCGCACCUGUGUGUGUUCAUACUUUCAUGAGGUCUUUCAUGAGUACAGCGCAAGCACUUUCAACAAAUAUUAUCUGACAUUUGCAGUCGAUAAAACGUCCUGAGUUUUUAAUUUAUUGCCCCACUUUUUAUUUGCUUGUUCUUGGUA